RNAcentral lists this unclassified non-coding RNA (445 nucleotides) under Tonestus eximius. RNAcentral's name for it is "partial external transcribed spacer". The record is from RNAcentral. Lineage: Eukaryota; Viridiplantae; Streptophyta; Magnoliopsida; Asterales; Asteraceae.
AGGUGCAUGAGUGGUGUUUGGUUUGAUACGGGUGGUCGGCUCCCUGCUUGAGCAGGCACGGCCACGCGUGCAUUCCUUUUCAGUUGUGCGGCAAGGCUUGUACGUCUUGAUCGUAUAAGUGGGUUUCUUGUGUUGCAUACCUGAUCAAUGGCAUCGUUUUGAUCAAAAGGGUACCUUUUUCAUCUGGCCAUGCACUUGUUGCAUUGUCGGAUGAACCGUGUAGCAUCCUCUUUGAUCCAUACAGUUGACGUGUAUUCGUUGAUUGUUUGGCCCGUUGAGGGUGACUUGGUCUCUCGGAUAUGGAAGCCAAAGUGGGCAUGGGUUCGCAAGAUCCUUUUAUUGCCCUCAUUGAGCGUUCUCGCUUCUCUUAUACGACCGCCUUUCACGUAUGGCACGUCCCAGCGUGUUUGGCUAUGUCGAAGAGGAAUGCUACCUGGUUGAUCCU